Molecule: long non-coding RNA, 553 nt
Filed under: Hordeum vulgare
Lineage: Eukaryota; Viridiplantae; Streptophyta; Magnoliopsida; Poales; Poaceae
Description: long non-coding RNA (HVUL_LNC005932)
Source: RNAcentral
AACUUCUCUUAUGUGGCGCUGUUGAAGGGUUAUAUUGACCUAAAUGGAGCCUAUCAGACAACCAAUACCCAGGUGCUAAAAACUUCUGGAAAAAAUAUGAUAAAAAAACAAUACAGAUGAAAAGAAAAUACGAUUAACCAUGUUAAAACUCAUGUGCAGAGGCGGGAAUCGUGCUUGUACGAUACUCACAACGAUCAAACAAAUGAUGGGGGUGAACCUCUACUACAUUUACAACAAACAAAGGCUCGGGACUGCGACACGGACAACACACCAAGCCAUGAGGUAAGCGUGCAGAAAAAACUGUAAAACAAAUGGGGGAAUAGAAAAAAUGUAAAACUUAUAACAAAUGAGGAAAAAUAGCAAAAAGGAUGUGUGGAUAAGUAUUUAAUGUUCCCUUUUAUUCAGGAUUUACACGUGUUGGGUGACUUUGUUGACGACCAAGACAAUUCUCCUAUGCAAUUGGAGGAUGUGGAUGCACAAACAACAACUUUUGAUGAUAUUCUCUUGGAUCCAUGGAAGCCAACCCUCUUUGAUGAUAUUCUCUUGGAUGAGG